Apus apus (common swift) is the source of this 8674-nucleotide long non-coding RNA. RefSeq lists it as uncharacterized. Lineage: Eukaryota; Metazoa; Chordata; Aves; Apodiformes; Apodidae. The record is from RefSeq and is a predicted model, not a curated record. The transcript has 2 exons.
GUUCCAGAUUUAAUCUCAACUCUUCAUCAACUGCAAAUGGAAGAUGACAGAAACAAGCAUAAGGAAGACUCGGCCUCUUGGAGCCAUCGUGAAGUGCGUCAUGUGGAAGUUGGGCAACUUGCCUGCAGCUUAUUGCCUUUGCUCAGAUUUGCAGUUGUCACUUAGACACUCCUCUACCAAAAUGUCAAAGGCAUUUUCCUGAGGGGACAGUGGACACAUCAUCAUUCAAAGCAAGAAAACAGCUCAUCUGAAACAAAAGUACAAACCCCUGAAUACAUGGGUGAGAGAAGUAAAUGUGAAUUGCACUUUGAAAACUUGAAAAUUUACUUGAAAGAAACUGUCCUAAUAUUUAUCAAAACGACUAUUUUGUGGGGGAACUUUUUAAAGUUCUUAUCUAUGCUAACAGGUUCUUCCAUUUAAAGUAACAGGGCGGCAGUAGUCCAGAUAAAUUACUGAGCAAACUCUAAAUAAUAACUGUUAAGUAAGGUAAGGAUGUUAUCCUAUCAUAAAAUAUUAUCCUUAAUUGUCAGAAGAAACAACUAUUCUUGGUUUUAAAUGAUGACUUGUGAAGAAUAAGUUGCUAAUUGAGUCAAGAAAACUUAAAAAAAACCAAACAAAAACCCCAACUAAAAACAGCCUCCAAAAUUAUCAACCUUCUGACUAAGAGACUAAGGAUGACAUCUAAUCUAUAAUGCAAAAGUUUUUUCCCCUGUUUAAAAGUGCUUUAUAACUAAAUGUGAGUAGUUGUUUUAGUCAAGUAUUGUGACAUUUGCGAAAAGCAGGAAUUUCAGAGAAGACAUGAUUUUGCAGUAGCGUUUGUAUGAGGGACUUUUUCUUAGGAUAUAGCUUUUGGUGUCACUUCUUGGCUUGAAUUUAAUUUACAUGAAGAGAGGCAUGCAAUAGAAUCUUUUUGUAUUGACACUGCAAUUGCAGAUGAGCUGCUUAUUAUAUAAAUGUCCAGAUCUUUCUUGAAUUUUACUAGAAUUUUUAACUACUUAACUUUGACAUCUUCUUUCAGUGAGUUAUACGUGUUGGCUGGUGAGAGAGGAAAAAUAUUUGUAGUGUUAUUUACUUCACUGCUAGGGUCUAGCUUAUUGUUUAGGGGCUUGGGGGUUUUUGCUUUUGCUUUGUUGUCACUGCUGGUUUAGCAGAUACAUGUCCUCAUUAACACCUAAGAACUUAACUUUAAAUUUCUAAUUUUAGCUAAUUGUUCAGCUUCGUAGCAUGAUUAUUAGAUCUAUUUUGCAUACUGAAAUUGCUGCAUUAUGAGACCAUAUGUGCAAUAAGGGUUUUUUUUCUACUUGCAUUGCCUUACAUACUCUGUAUUUUAAGGUGUACUGAAAAUAGCCUGUUGGUAGACUCAGUUGAUCAAAGGAGAAAACUGAUCUUAACUGAGGCACUUGCAGUUAAUUUCCUGUUUUGAAAAUGCUGCUUCUUCCCACUGUGUGCAGGCUCUAAUGUAGCUCGUGUGGUAUAUGUUCUGUUUAACCAGUUAGCAGUAUAUUGUAUAUUUGGGUAUGCACAGCAGUAUUUCUGUCUUCUGAUGUUCUCUCGAACUUACAUAACAUCUCUCAGAGGUUCUGACCUAGGUUUUCUGUGGUGGGCUGAAGGUGCAUAGGUAUGUGUGGUUAACUGAACACAUAGCUAUGCAUAAAUGAAGAUGGCAGGUCCAUAGGCCUUUUCUGAAGAUAUUUUACUUUGCUACAGAAUUGGCAAGCAGUCUAGGAGCUCUCGAGUGCAGGAUCACAGCUGCCAAAAUACUGCUUCUUUGUAGUAUAGUUUCCACCAGUUUUGGAGGAAAAAAACCUCUUGAUUUUUUGCCCUAUUGGGUGGCACACUGUAGUCUGGAUAUAUUCUACAAGUGAAGCUUGACAAACUGGUCCUUAAUUCACUGUCCUCUCAGCUCUACAGAAUUAGUAAACUGAAGCUGUUUGCCAUGGAGGAAAGUAAGUCUGGCAUGACUGGAGCUUGGAAAUACAGCACACUGAUAUCUUAUGGGAACCAGAUUCUGGAUAAUGCAGCCCCACACAGGGGAGGAGAGACCAGAUCUUGAAAUAAGGUUUCUUCCACAAAAAACGUAAUGGAACUAACUAUGCAAUUACAGUUUAUUUUUUAAACUGAAAUUAUGAGAGCAGACGGUAUAAGGAAAGACAGGAACACGUGUAGCAAGAAUGGAACUUUCUUCCACUCUCCCAAGGUAUUCCAACUAAUCUGUUAAAUGCUAAUAGGAAAUUAAGAUCUGGACAAAAGCAGAAUAAAAACUUGCAUAUCUCAUUUUUCUGGUCAGCAUACUGCACAGAAAGGAGUGCAAAGCAGCUUUGUUGAGAGGCAUAGGCUGUUAGUCAGUGUCUCUCCAUAUGUACACUCUAAUUUUAUCAGUCCUAGCUAUAGAACAAGCUGGAGACUUGGGCUCUUUUUCUUUGGAGGCGCACAUCUGCUUCUGCAGCAGUACAAGUUUCCAGUUCAAGCUGCUUUGUUGCAGAGAAGUCUGUUGUUACGCAUUUUCAAGGCAAAGUACUGGAUUUCUACUGACCUUCCAAAUAAUCCAGAGUAAUCCAAAUCAGCUCUGAUCCUAGACACAGUGCACCAAUCCUUUCCUCCCUGGUGCGGGGAGCAUGAAGAGAGAACUGUUGAGAAAAGAAAUGGGAUAGGUUAAUACAUUUUCUUAUCUGGUUUUCUGAACAGAUUAACUUUUGGGUGGCUGUAUUUUUUAACAGCUAGCCAGUGUGCCUCGACUAGUAACAGGUACUGUGCUUUUUCAGAGUACGUUUCAAAGGAAAGAAACCUGCCCUGCUGGUCCCUCGGUGGGUUGGAGGUUGCUGGUGACAGGAGAUGGCGCUGAGAAACCUCGUGAAAGGGCUGGAGCGGCACUGGGGGAAAACCUGCCGUGGGGUUAGGCUUAGGGCAUCCAAAAGAUCACUAAACAGGGGAAAAGUAACUGGGGGGUGUUGGUUUUGAUUGUUUGUUGUGUUUUCCAUUUUUCUCAUCUGAAAAAGGUUUUAGUUCUCUGCCCUUCUUGUGCACAUAAACCUUUAUCAGCCAAAGAACUCUCUUGCCUUUUGGGAAGAAUGAUUAAAGUAAGGUCAAGGGGCUUUUCCUCUGGAGGAGGUGUUCCUUAGAGAUCACUUUUUUCCUGAGUAGCUUCACUGAUAGGAGUCAGCAUCACUGUUGGUAUUGGAACUGCAUCAGAAGCUGGGUCUACUGAAGAACACCGCAACAAUUCUGUGGAUCAAAGUAAAGCAGACAGGUCAGGACAGAGUCUUCACUCUUGAAUGAUUUUGCAUGAAGAGUCGUUUGAUCUGCUCUGCUUUCUUGUUUAUAUGACCAUCUUCUUCCUUGUCCUAAUGCCUGUGCUGUCUUGGCAUUUCUAGAAGCAGUCAGGGCUUCUCCUCAUGUUAGGAAGCUUGGAAGAUCUGCCCUUGUUACCUCAUUUAACUCUCUGAAACUGCAGCUAAAGCGUUUUGUGCAGGAUUUUGACCUUCAUGGGGCUUCUAUGUGGCAAUCACUUUGUUUGCCCUUCCUUGCUCCUUGUUCCAUCCCUCGUACCAGUUUACCUUUCUUCUCCCUUUCUGCUUGUGCUCUGUUACGUUCCUGGCACUGUUCCUCUGCCUGAGCUUUUAGAGGGAUAGUUUGGGUCCCGUUUCCACCUCAGCACAGGGCUAUGGAGAGGGGGCAGAGAGUGACUGGCUGCAGAGCCACAGGGUGACUGCUGUGGUAGUUUUGCAUCUAUAGUGGGGAUGGAACAAAGGGAAUUUUGUCAGAGGUGUCCUUAUGCUUUGCUUUAUUUUUCUGUCCAGUUUUUUUGAUGUACACCUGUUCUUCCUGUUUUUACCAUAGGGACUUAGGAUUACUUAUCACUAAUAUCCACAGCUGAUAUUAGAGGACAAGUUUCAGGUAGUUAUGUAGAAGUUCAGUGUGUGGGCAGGAGCCACUGUCUAAUUAAAGAGGUAUCCUAAUAAUCAUUGGCAUUUAACUGUCCUACUUAGCGUAGGCAGUAAAUGAAUGGCUCACAAAAGCACACUUUAAUUUUUUACUGUGCUUUCCAAGUGCAUAAUCCCCUUAAUCCUUCACUACUUGGAGUUUUUGUGUUAAUUAAAUGGAACCUCUGCAAGCUCGGUGAUUCACAUUUCAGGACAAAUACGUGCACUUAACAGGGGGAAAGUUGGCAUAGAUCUCACUGAGCAACUUGAGGUUUAAAGCAGUUCUUUCAAGGUUAUUUUGUAAAUUAAUAUAUGUUUCUUGGCAGUCAGCCAUAUAGAAUCUUCCCUUCGCUGCUGAAGAGAUUGAUUCCCCAUUAUCACAUAAUUCCUGCUACAAGUGUUAACUGAUUUUCUCUGUGAUGACUGACUUUCUGACUGAGCUUGACUAAAGAGGAAAGCUGACCCCAGGGAUGGAAGUGAUCAACAGGAGCAGGAAUUAAUGGAGGUGAAGGAAGCAGAUACCAGAUCUUUGUCUUCUGAUCUGGCAAUUGACUGUUUCUUUCUACACUGGAACUAAGUAAUGGGAGAAAAAUCCUCUUUCCUGCAAAAGUUCCCAAGGCAGAUUCACAAUAUAAGAGAGUUCUGAAGAGUAGUCAGUAUGUAGCCUGGCACUCCUCUUCCUUUGCUGCAUAUGUAUUUUUUAUGAGUAAGGCUUGUAACAGACAGGACCAGCUGGUUACUUCUGAGCAGGAUUUGCAGAAGAGAGAUGGAAAUAAGAAAAAUUCACCUGUGCAUUUUAAGCUUAUGGUUUCCAUGCUUGGCAGAGUGGGAUUAGGACGUAUAUCACAAGGAAAGGUUAUUGUAUCUAUUGUGCUUGUUCUAGCACAGUCCUGCCUUUUCUCUUCAUGGUCUUGCUGCCAGUUGCAUACCUCCUUUCUUCUAAAAUGCAGAACAACCCUCUGGUUAAGAAGAACACUCAUAUUGCAGAAGGUGAAGGAUAUGUAAGACCAGGAGAGGAAAUGCUGCACAUCUUUGCAAAGAACAACCCUCAAACUGGUCCUUUAUGUUCCUGCUCUGGUUCUAUCCAUUUCUCCACUAGUCCUUGUGACAAUCCUCCUUCCUUAAGCUGGAGAGGGGGAUGAGGUAUUUCUGGCUGUAACAGGUCAUCUAUAUUGUUGGCCUCCUCAGCUGAGGAAGUGGGUUGCUUUACAAAGCCUAGAGCAUGCCUGUAGUAUCCCAUUCCAGUUCUUAUUUACAGUGAGGGAAAUGAUGGUAUCCAACAGUCUUUUUUGUGCCAGUUCCAAGGACAGAAGGGUGCUCAGCCACCUGCUCCUGAUGCACAGCUAACACACAACCUGUGGGAUGGAGAACUUCCUUUGACAGACUGAAGAAAGCAAUGGAUGAAGGAAGGCUUGUUCGUAGCUGGGCGAGGAACUGGGGUAAUACUUCGUGAUAGAAUAAGACUAUCUAUAAUAGUGAAACUUACCUUGACUUUUUAUCACCUGUUUAGAAGGUAAAUGGAGUGUUACCAGUUGCCUGUUUGGAUACUAUUUCCUAAUUGUUAAGUCUCCUCAGAGUGGACCAUCUCCUGUGGAGGUUUUUGCAUCAUUAGUGUUAGUAUCAGAAUGAUUGUCAGAGAAGACUGUGCUUCUGUCCUAUGAAGGAUCUGACAGAAACACUGAAAAUAAGAAACAACAUUCUGCUUUUUAAAAAAUUACACAGUAUUUAUGUUUGAGAGGAGCUAUUGAAGUUUCAGAGUCUCUGUCAUCCAGAGGUAUCCAAUACAGAAACACAAGCAUGCCUGUAGAAGAGAGGGAGGUGAGGGCCAGAAAACCUUUUGCUACAAACCUUUUGCUUUCCUUUGCCACACAACUCUUGCAAGAAAUGAUGAAGCCAAUGAUGAAGCCAAGACAUGUGACAAAUACAAUUUUAAUUACUGUGCCAGGAAAUGGUGCUGGUUCUGGAAGCAAUAAAAAAGCAGCAGGUUCCCCUGCUUAAACUUAACUUUAAAGAGGAUUUGUCUCCUUUUUCCAUGCCUUCAGAAUUCCGCCUGACAUCACCUAGGCCUCCACGUAGUCUGGCUAAGAGGAUACUUUCUGACUUCCAAGAAAAACAAGUGGAAAUGCAAAAAGCUUGCAUCUGGCCUUUUACCUCAUCCUCAGCCACCUGGGCUGCUUGAGAGUUGUCAUGGCAUUCCCAGUUUCUCUUUGCUUGCUACAUAAUAAAUUAAAACAGACUGUGGAGAAACAAGACAUUCACAGAAAGCAGACAACACUUAGAGCUCAAAUAGUUAGAAGGACUAAUCUGCUGCAUGAUCUGGUAAGUUUCUUCAGGUAUUAAUCUGUAUGCUCAAUAAAAGCUCCCUGUGAAGCCAGGAUACAUAUAAUCUAUGAAUUAUUUGUCAUCACCAAAAAAUACUUGUUUUGCACAGCCCUGGUUCUGAACUAUGGACAGUCAGGCUUUGCUCCUCUUUUUUCAGUAAGUAGAUUUACUUCUGCUUCAAGUACAGAGAAGGAAAAUAAGGGUUUUGCACUGUCUUCAGAGUAUUUCAGAUUAUAUGUAGAAUGCACUAACAAAAUGUAAAAUUCCAGCUGAUACCUCUUUUUUUCCCCAAGGAGAAAAUGCCAGUUUUGAGUUUUUACAGAAUGUGUACAUUAAUUCUCAUACCUUGUGUGGAAUAGAAACUAAUCACAAGCAGAGCUAUUCUAUUUUUAUUGUCCACUGGUGCAAAGUUCACGCUCUGACUUACAGACUGCUGGCUUUUCAUGUGUUCUGUUCACCUCUUUAAGUUUGUGAACUUGAUGUAAUAGUCACUUAGUUCUUGUGGCUGAAAGUACUAAUGGAGAAGAGACUUGGGGUAGGGAUAAAAAGAUUUAUUUAAGCACACUUCACAUUUCAGGCUUCAGUAUGACAUGUUUUCUCACAUACUGUUUUAUAUUUGCUUGUAUACAGGUUUAUCAAAUUAUGGUUUGGUGAAAACAAUCUGCUGUCAUUCUUCCAACACAAGAACAGCAUUCUCUUAAGUUGAAAUCACAAAGGGGGGGAAAUCACCUUUUACAUGACAUAUUUUUUAAAUAACAUUUACUGAAGAAAAGGUUAAAAACCAUGUUCCAAAUGCCAUGACUCAAACAUGCAUUUUCUUUUUUUCUCUUUAAGACCAAAGUAACAGUAAUUUAUCAAAGAGAAAGAUACAGUGUGUUGUUAAAACCUUUCCAACCUCAGUUACAAAAAUAGUACCAGAAACGUGUCACAUCUGCAUAUAUCACGUCUGCAACUUACUUAGUCUAAGUCACCUAAAAGAUCAAAGUUGAAUGAUGCAGGACUGAAGGUGGUGCAGUCCAGCUGCACAGUAACAUCUAUUUCUAAGAUCAAGUCAACCACAGCUUUUCUCAGUGUUUCCACUGCCUCUUAAGCCAGUCAGUGUAAUACAACAACAGAUCCAAGCUACUAAGAAGUUCUUUGCAGCUCCAGAUUUUUAUGGCUUCCUCUCUCCUACAUGUAAAGUGUGCAGUGGUCAGGUCAGGUAUCUGGUUCUAGGGUUGAUGGGAGCUGAAAUAAGGUCUAUCUGUACUGGCACAUGAAACCCAAGACUUGGGUUUGAGCCAAAGUUUAGGAGGAGCUGCAGCUCUAGAUUCAAAAGGCUGGCUGGUAUUGGUAACAGAGACCACAAGCGUCACAUGGGACUUUGUGCUACAGAUCUCUUUCUUUAGCAUCAAAUGCUUUCAGACUGCAUGUAAAUUAUAGCUUAGACACCAUUUUUAAGAGAGACCAGAAAGCCUUCUGCCCUUCCAUUACUGCUUUUAAGUGCAGUACUUCUUUAUAUAUCUAGACCAAGUACCACUUGUUAGAAAUAUGAUUCUUAGUUCUAGAGAAAUAAAAUCAGCAAACUAGAUUUUUUUUAUUUAUUUAUAUUUUGUUAAGAGAUGGAAAAAGGUGCACUUUUUCCUCAGUGGCACAGAUGCUGAGAUUCUCUCUAUUUAUGUGAACAGGUGGUUCUUCUGUGUUCCAAAAGGAAAUUCAAAUGUGGUUGACCUUGACAGUCCAAUUCCUAGUUCACCAGAAGAUCUCUGAAUUCUGUGGAUUUGCCACAAUCCUGAUAUUCACCUUGUUCUUCCUCAGGAAAACGGCAGCUGCAGGCAUCUUCCUGAAUUGAGUCUUGAGGUGUGGCAUGCACUAAAGAAAAAUAGCAGAUGUUUACUUUCUGUUGUAUUUAUUCAGCCACCUUAUUUCCCCCUUCCUCAGUCACAAGUGCAGGAAGUCAGCAAUAAAAAAUAUUCCAAAUGAUUCAGUAAUGUGGAAUUAUUUCUUUACAGCAUAUACCCCUGAUAAAACUAGUUUAUCAUACUUGUUAAGAUUUUUUUUGAGCAAUGCUGUUGUCUCCUGAAUUAAGAAUUAUACAGAAGAUCAAGGAAAGGGGUCCUUAUCUCUAGGAAAAGGGACAGGGAGAGAGAGAGAGAGAGAAACCCAAACAAAAAUCCCAACUGUAAACUAUGUUGGAUGUAAUUCCACCUCAUCUUUGUGCUGAACAUUUUGAGCUUCCCUUGGGCAGUGCUGGAUUCUGGCUGCUAAGGAUGACCCUUGGAAGUAAUAAAUGAACUGACCCUUAACCAGACCAGCAAGCCUUAGCUGAGCUUUUUCACCUCCCACAUACACUUCAUUUCUAUGGAUAUGCAUGCACUUAACCUGCAAUGUUGACAGAAUGCCCACAGGUAAUUGCUUUCUGCAAUAAAAAUUCCCAAACUGUUUUCCUUUCA